This 735-nucleotide ribosomal RNA is filed under the name uncultured beta proteobacterium. Its description in RNAcentral is "bacterial SSU rRNA". It matches the Rfam family "Bacterial small subunit ribosomal RNA", at positions 41 to 773 of the family's 1533-position model. Lineage: Bacteria; Pseudomonadati; Pseudomonadota; Betaproteobacteria. The record is from RNAcentral.
GGCAUGCCUUACACAUGCAAGUCGAACGGUAACAGGUCUUCGGAUGCUGACGAGUGGCGAACGGGUGAGUAAUACAUCGGAACGUGCCCAGUAAUGGGGGAUAGCUCGGCGAAAGCCGGAUUAAUACCGCAUACGCCCUGAGGGGGAAAGUGGGGGAUCGCAAGACCUCACGUUAUUGGAGCGGCCGAUGGCUGAUUAGCUAGUUGGUAGGGUAAAGGCCUACCAAGGCGACGAUCAGUAGCUGGUCUGAGAGGACGAUCAGCCACACUGGGACUGAGACACGGCCCAGACUCCUACGGGAGGCAGCAGUGGGGAAUUUUGGACAAUGGGGGAAACCCUGAUCCAGCAAUGCCGCGUGUGCGAAGAAGGCCUUCGGGUUGUAAAGCACUUUUGUCAGGGAAGAAAUCCUUUGGGCUAAUACCCUAGGGGGAUGACGGUACCUGAAGAAUAAGCACCGGCUAACUACGUGCCAGCAGCCGCGGUAAUACGUAGGGUGCAAGCGUUAAUCGGAAUUACUGGGCGUAAAGCGUGCGCAGGCGGUUGUGUAAGACAGGUGUGAAAUCCCCGGGCUUAACCUGGGAAUUGCAUUUGUGACUGCACGACUAGAGUGUGUCAGAGGGGGGUGGAAUUCCACGUGUAGCAGUGAAAUGCGUAGAUAUGUGGAGGAACACCAAUGGCGAAGGCAGCCCCCUGGGAUAACACUGACGCUCAUGCACGAAAGCGUGGGGAGCAAAC